Molecule: ribosomal RNA, 492 nt
Filed under: uncultured bacterium
Lineage: Bacteria
Description: partial 16S ribosomal RNA
Rfam family: Bacterial small subunit ribosomal RNA
Source: RNAcentral
AGUGAACGCUGGCGGUAGGCCUAGCACAUGCAAGUCGAACGGCAGCACAGUAAGAGCUUGCUCUUACGGGUGGCGAGUGGCGGACGGGUGAGGAAUACAUCGGAAUCUACUUUUUCGUGGGGGAUAACGUAGGGAAACUUACGCUAAUACCGCAUACGACCUACGGGUGAAAGCAGGGGAUCUUCGGACCUUGCGCGAUUGAAUGAGCCGAUGUCGGAUUAGCUAGUUGGCGGGGUAAAGGCCCACCAAGGCGACGAUCCGUAGCUGGUCUGAGAGGAUGAUCAGCCACACUGGAACUGGGACACGGUCCAGACUCCUACGGGAGGCAGCAGUGGGGAAUAUUGGACAAUGGGCGCAAGCCUGAUCCAGCCAUACCGCGUGGGUGAAGAAGGCCUUCGGGUUGUAAAGCCCUUUUGUUGGGAAAGAAAAGCAGCAGGUUAAUACCCCGCUGUUCUGACGGUACCCAAAGAAUAAGCACCGGCUAACUUCGUG